This 253-nucleotide ribosomal RNA is filed under the name uncultured bacterium. Its description in RNAcentral is "partial 16S ribosomal RNA". It matches the Rfam family "Bacterial small subunit ribosomal RNA", at positions 524 to 776 of the family's 1533-position model. The record is from RNAcentral.
UACAUAGGGUGCAAGCGUUGUCCGGAAUUACUGGGCGUAAAGAGCGUGUAGGCGGCUUUUUAAGUCGUAACCUUAAAUCCUGGAGCUUAACUCCAGUUCGGGUUCGAUACUGAUAAGCUAGAGAUUGGGAGAGGAAAGUGGAACUCACAGUGUAGCGGUGAAAUGCGUAGAUAUUGUGAGGAACACCCGUGGCGAAGGCGGCUUUCUGGACCAUUUCUGACGCUGAGACGCGAGAGCGUGGGGAUCAAACAGG